Molecule: ribosomal RNA, 468 nt
Filed under: uncultured bacterium
Lineage: Bacteria
Description: partial 16S ribosomal RNA
Rfam family: Bacterial small subunit ribosomal RNA
Source: RNAcentral
GACGAACGCUGGCGGCGUGCUUAACACAUGCAAGUCGAACGGAAAGGCCCUGCUUUUGUGGGGUGCUCGAGUGGCGAACGGGUGAGUAACACGUGAGUAACCUGCCCUUGACUUUGGGAUAACUUCAGGAAACUGGGGCUAAUACCGGAUAGGAGCUCCUGCUGCAUGGUGGGGGUUGGAAAGUUUCGGCGGUUGGGGAUGGACUCGCGGCUUAUCAGCUUGUUGGUGGGGUAGUGGCUUACCAAGGCUUUGACGGGUAGCCGGCCUGAGAGGGUGACCGGCAACAGUGGGAACGAGGUGCCGCCGGGAGUCAUCAGGUAGGGAGCAGUGGGCGAGGGUGCAGACGGGGAGCAGGCCUGAAGCAGCGACGCCGGGUGGGGGAGGGCGGGCGGCGGGUGGGAAACGCGGGUCGCGGGGGAAGAAGCUGGUGGCGGCGGUAGCGAUAUAAGAAGCAGCGGCGAACUAAGU